Molecule: long non-coding RNA, 1647 nt
Organism: Carassius auratus (goldfish)
Lineage: Eukaryota; Metazoa; Chordata; Actinopteri; Cypriniformes; Cyprinidae
Exons: 2
Source: RefSeq, a predicted model, not a curated record
UACAUGGAUUCAUGUCGCAUGUAUGUGAUCUAAUGUAGCCUCUAUAUAUAUGUUUAGAAAUUUACAGAUUUCAGUUGCAUCUCUGUGUGAAGCUAAUAAAGCAGUCAAUUCUGUUCUUUGGUAAAUGUAUUAUUCUAAUGACAUCUAUAUUAUAGAAAUCUGUGUUUCAGGGUGAAAACUAAAUAUACAUCGCCGGAUUUUGCUCUAUUUUGGGAACUCAUUCGCAUUUUGCCGUCAAUCUAUUUUAAAGUUUAACUUCUAUAGAGUCUUUCAGUAUUUUGUAAUUCCUAUUACAUAUUAAUUUAAGAUUAUGCCGAUAUUUAUACUGAUGACAGUCUUAGAUGCUGGAACAUAAAACAGCUGACGCGAACUAAAGCGAAACUCAGCCCCAUAGAAACUGCGCAAAAGUGCGCAGCUAUUAUGCGCCAGAACACUUGUCUUUGAUUUGGCCAAAAGCUGUUGUUUACACUGCAAGGACGGCAUAGAAAUUCGCUAAUCUGCAGAACAUAAACAGGCGUCAGACUAACGUGCGUAUGUUCUAGCGAUCAUAACGUACAUGGGCCUAUUUUGACAGCACAAGCCACCCGUUACAAGAGGGUUUUUAGGAUUGAGUGGCGCAUUAGAAAUAGAGGUCUCUACUCCAAGACAUCAUAACAAUAGCCACACUGAAAUGAGUAUCAGAGAUAAAGAGCUUAAGAUACAUUUCAAACCAGGGCACGUUGAGUUUGUUCAGGAAGUUGUUUGGAUUUUCCUGCCUCUUUGGAUCGUUUUUUCCAUUCACACAGACUGAGGAGAGAUGGUGUGCAGCUUCAUGACAUGUGAAGUUUACUUCCGAUGAAGAGCUUCUGGGACACUGACAGACAGCACGUCCCAGCAAGUUCAUCUGGAGUUCUUUUUUUAAAUGUAUUUAUUUAUUUAGUCAAACUUGCAUUCACUAAUGCUGGAGUAAGAUUUUAUAAGAAAAUGUUCGGUCCUGUUUAAUGUUGGUGCUAGUAGAAGUUUGAGAACUAAUGGCCUGAUUUCACAGACAGGGCGUAAACUUAGCCAGAUCAGAGUUCAGUUAGGACAUUUAAGUCAUUUUCCUUGACAUGCCAUAGAAAAAAAUCAUUACUGGUGUGCAUCUUGAGACAAAACAAAGGCACUGGUAUUUUUAAAGAUCAGUCAGUGCAAGUUUCUAUCAGUUGAAACAGCUCAGAAUUACAUUUUAGCCUCAGGCUGGUCUUAAGCCUUGUCUGUGAAACCAGGGGUACAACUAACCCACUUUGGUCAUGUUUUACAAUAAGGUCUCGUUUGUUGUACAUGCAUAGAUAAAUUUCUUUUCUUUUUUUUUUUUUUUUAAAUGUGUGUUGUUUGUGUGUUAGUAAUCCUAUAUUUUAUGGCGACCAAAUGACUCCACAAGUAUAGUAAUACCAGUAAAUUUUGACUGUGUGGACAUUUUUAGGUCUCCGAUGAGGAAACAGAUUUAGACAUCUUGAAGAUGGUGUUUUCCAUGAUGGUGAAAUUUGCAUUGUUCUCCAAACUCUUUCUAAUAAGUAAGUUGAAGUGUUGUAACUGUAUAGUGUUCAGUUUUUCUAGCGCAUCAGCAAAAAGCAUUUUAGUGUAUUUGUUUUAGAGAUUGAUUUGUCAAUAAAUGUAGAGGGUUUAUCA